RNAcentral lists this microRNA (21 nucleotides) under Ornithorhynchus anatinus (platypus). RNAcentral describes it as "oan-miR-1421l-2-3p". Lineage: Eukaryota; Metazoa; Chordata; Mammalia; Monotremata; Ornithorhynchidae. The record is from miRBase by way of RNAcentral.
UGCAUCCCAUGUGACUGCUCU